Molecule: ribosomal RNA, 254 nt
Filed under: uncultured bacterium
Lineage: Bacteria
Description: partial 16S ribosomal RNA
Rfam family: Bacterial small subunit ribosomal RNA
Source: RNAcentral
UACAGAGGUCCCAAGCGUUGUUCGGAUUCAUUGGGCGUAAAGGGUGCGUAGGCGGCGCGGUAAGUCGGGUGUGAAAUCUCGGAGCUUAACUCCGAAACUGCAUUCGAUACUGCGGUGCUUGAGGACUGGAGAGGAGACUGGAAUUCAUGGUGUAGCAGUGAAAUGCGUAGAGAUCAUGAGGAAGACCAGUGGCGAAGGCGGGUCUCUGGACAGUUCCUGACACUGAGGCACGAAGGCCAGGGGGAGCAAACGGG